Molecule: ribosomal RNA, 465 nt
Filed under: uncultured bacterium
Lineage: Bacteria
Description: partial 16S ribosomal RNA
Rfam family: Bacterial small subunit ribosomal RNA
Source: RNAcentral
CUACGGGGGGCUGCAGUGGGGAAUAUUGGACAAUGGGGGAAACCCUGAUCCAGCAAUGCCGCGUGUGUGAAGAAGGCCUGCAGGUUGUAAAGCACUUUCGGUUGGGAGGACUGCUUCUAGCACUAAUAUUGUUGGAAGUUGACGUUACCUUCAGAAGAAGCACCGGCUAACUCCGUGCCAGCAGCCGCGGUAAUACGGAGGGUGCAAGCGUUCAUCGGAAUUACUGGGCGUAAAGCGCGCGUAGGCGGCUAGAUCAGUCGGGUGUGAAAGCCCCGGGCUUAACCUGGGAACUGCAUCCGAUACUGUCUAGCUUGAGUACAGGAGAGGAGAGUGGAAUUCCACAUGUAGCGGUGAAAUGCGUAGAUAUGUGGAGGAACACCAAUGGCGAAGGCAGCUCUCUGGCCUGAUACUGACGCUGAGGUGCGAAAGCGUGGGGAGCAAACAGGAUUAGAUACCCUCGUAGUC